GGCUCUGAGAGGAGUAGCCCGGAGAUGGGUACUGAGACACGGACCCAGGCCCUAUGGGGCGCAGCAGGCGAGAAAACUUUGCAAUGUGCGAAAGCACGACAAGGUUAAUCUGAGUGAUUUGUGCUAAACGAAUCUUUUGUUAGUCCUAGAAACACUAACGAAUAAGGGGUGGGCAAGUUCUGGUGUCAGCCGCCGCGGUAAAACCAGCACCUCAAGUGGUCAGGAUGAUUAUUGGGCCUAAAGCAUCCGUAGCCGGCUCUGUAAGUUUUCGGUUAAAUCUGUACGCUUAACGUACAGGCUGCCGGGAAUACUGCAAAGCUAGGGAGUGGGAGAGGUAGACGGUACUCGGUGGGAAGUGGUAAAAUGCUUUGAUCUAUCGAUGACCACCUGUGGCGAAGGCGGUCUACCAGAACACGUCCGACGGUGAGGGAUGAAAGCUGGGGGAGCAAACCGGAUUAGAUACCCGGGUAGUCCCAGCUGUAAACUAUGCAAACUCAGUGAUGCAUUGGCUUGUGGCCAAUGCAGUGCUGCAGGGAAGCCGUUAAGUUUGCCGCCUGGGAAGUACGUACGCAAGUAUGAAACUUAAAGGAAUUGGCGGGGGAGCACCACAAGGGGUGAAGCCUGCGGUUCAAUUGGAUUCAACGCCGGG
Molecule: ribosomal RNA, 649 nt
Filed under: uncultured crenarchaeote
Lineage: Archaea; Thermoproteati; Thermoproteota
Description: bacterial SSU rRNA
Rfam family: Archaeal small subunit ribosomal RNA
Source: RNAcentral